UAAUACGGAGGGUGCGAACGUUGCUCGGAAUCAUUGGGCGUAAAGCGCACGUAGGCGGCCUCGCAAGUUGGAUGUGAAAGCCCUGGGCUCAACUCAGGAAGUGCAUCCAAAACUGCAUGGCUCGAGUGCCGAAGGGGGCCAGAGAAUUCCCGGUGUAGAGGUGAAAUUCGUAGAUAUCGGGAGGAAUACCAGUGGCGAAGGCGCUGGCCUGGUCGGAUACUGACGCUGAGGUGCGAUAGCGUGGGGAGCAAACAGGAUUAGAUACCCUGGUAGUCCACGCCGUAAACGAUGAGUGCUAGGCGGUGGGAGUUUGACCCUUUCACUGCCGUAGUUAACGCGUUAAGCACUCCGCCUGGGGAGUACGGUCGCAAGACUA
Molecule: ribosomal RNA, 376 nt
Filed under: uncultured bacterium
Lineage: Bacteria
Description: bacterial SSU rRNA
Rfam family: Bacterial small subunit ribosomal RNA
Source: RNAcentral